GUGGGGAAUAUUGCACAAUGGGCGCAAGCCUGAUGCAGCAACGCCGCGUGAGGGAAGACGGUUUUCGGAUUGUAAACCUCUGUCUUUGGUGACGAAGAAGUGACGGUAGCCAAGGAGGAAGCCACGGCUAACUACGUGCCAGCAGCCGCGGUAAUACGUAGGUGGCAAGCGUUAUCCGGAAUUACUGGGUGUAAAGGGAGCGCAGGCGGGAUAGCAAGUCAGCGGUGAAAUGCAUGGGCUUAACUCAUGAGCUGCCGUUGAAACUGUUAUUCUUGAGUGGAGUAGAGGCAGGCGGAAUUCCGAGUGUAGCGGUGAAAUGCGUAGAUAUUCGGAGGAACACCAGUGGCGAAGGCGGCCUGCUGGGCUCUAACUGACGCUGAGGCUCGAAAGUGUGGGGAGCAAACAGGAUUAGAAACCCUAGUAGUCC
RNAcentral lists this ribosomal RNA (427 nucleotides) under uncultured bacterium. Its description in RNAcentral is "bacterial SSU rRNA". It matches the Rfam family "Bacterial small subunit ribosomal RNA", at positions 354 to 796 of the family's 1533-position model. The record is from RNAcentral.